Molecule: unclassified non-coding RNA, 1272 nt
Filed under: Bombus terrestris (buff-tailed bumblebee)
Lineage: Eukaryota; Metazoa; Arthropoda; Insecta; Hymenoptera; Apidae
Description: misc RNA ENSBTSG00005022160.1
Source: RNAcentral
UGCAGUUAUAUUUACUGUACAUUGUCCUAAACUUGCAGGAAGCUGUACAGUUGCAUUUACUUGAAUCUGUACUCCUGGAUUAGAAUUUAAAACCAUGGAGUUACUAUUUUCAGAAACUUGAAAGUUAUUUGAUUUAACAUGAUAAAGUUUCUGAACAUUAUUACAACAACAAUUAAAAUUUCGAUCUUGAUCUAAUUCUUGACCAUUUCCUUUCGAACUUUUAGCUUGUUGAAAUUGCAUGACCGGCACAUUAGUCACUUGAAAAUUUGACAAAACCGAUUUUGCUUCACAAUUUUCAAAUGAAGUUCCCCCUUCUGCUUUUUGCGGUAGGAUAUUUCUUCGAGUCCCUGGUAAUUCCUGACAACCACUUGGGGGUAUUAAAAACAUCCUUUUAUCUUGAUAAUGUCUUUUGCACGAAACAUCCACCACCAGACAAUUUUGGACGGAUUUCCAUAUGUGGUGCUUGCAUAAGAGUUCCAGAAUCUGUACUCUGAAUUAAACAGCCUCCGGAUUGUAUACUUGGUGUUGUAAUUGUUACACUUCCUCCAGUUAAAUCACAACUUGUGGUGAUUUGACAUCCAGAACCAUUUUUUUGGAUUUCUUCAUUAAUUAACGGAAAUCCAAGAACUUGUGUAUUUUUUUCAAAUUUUUGGAGGAAACCUUCCUUUUGUUUAUCGAUUCUUGGUUUUUCCAAAUCAAGUGUCAUUGAUGGAAAGUUGAAGGAAUUGAUAACAGGUUGUAUAAUAGUUGGUGCAUUUAUAAAACAACCACCACCACUAUUAUAGCCUUCAGGAACUAACAGGCCACCAUAAUAACAGGUUGUUGGAUGAAUUACAGUAUUAUCUUUAUCCAUAUUUUGAGCUCUGCAACAACCUGGAGCUGGAAAUCGGUGACGACAGUUUGGGCACAUUACUGUCAACAUUUUUUGUAAAACUACUUUGUUUUCAGCAUAACAGUCUUGUAUCUGUAAACAGAAAAAACAAAGAUCAUUUUAAUAUUUUGAUGAAACUAGAAACAUGUACAGUAUAAAAAUAUUCUAAAAUAUAAAGCAUAUAAAAUAUUAUAAAUAUUCAAUCUGAAUAUAUAAGAAAUAUUUCUUUAAUAACAUUUGAUUUAUAAUUAUUAAAUUAUACAAAAGUCAGAUUUAAUAAUAGCAAAAAUCAAUUUAAAAUACGAUAAAAACAAAUUAUUAUAAUUAGGAAAACACACAUAAUUAUUUAGUAAUAUUAUUUGAGCGAAAUCAUCUAGAUUUAAGGUAUAUUAUUAUAAAUU